This 497-nucleotide ribosomal RNA is filed under the name uncultured bacterium. RNAcentral describes it as "partial 16S ribosomal RNA". It matches the Rfam family "Bacterial small subunit ribosomal RNA", at positions 28 to 507 of the family's 1533-position model. The record is from RNAcentral.
GAUGAACGCUGGCGGCGUGCCUAAUACAUGCAAGUCGAGCGAACAGACGAGGAGCUUGCUCCUCUGACGUUAGCGGCGGACGGGUGAGUAACACGUGGAUAACCUACCUAUAAGACUGGGAUAACUUCGGGAAACCGGAGCUAAUACCGGAUAACAUGUUGAACCGCAUGGUUCAACAGUGAAAGACGGUCUUGCUGUCACUUAUAGAUGGAUCCGCGCCGCAUUAGCUAGUUGGUAAGGUAACGGCUUACCAAGGCAACGAUGCGUAGCCGACCUGAGAGGGUGAUCGGCCACACUGGAACUGAGACACGGUCCAGACUCCUACGGGAGGCAGCAGUAGGGAAUCUUCCGCAAUGGGCGAAAGCCUGACGGAGCAACGCCGCGUGAGUGAAGAAGGUCUACGGAUCGUAAAACUCUGUUAUUAGGGAAGAACAAAUGUGUAAGUAACUAUGCACGUCUUGACGGUACCUAAUCAGAAAGCCACGGCUAACUACGUG